AGUUGACUCGAGGAUACAAAAGUGUCUAUCCUGUAACCUUCCUCAGAAUCAUCAUCAUCAGUUUCUGGUCUGGGUCUGUGGGUGUGACAACCAACGUGUUCUUCACAAAUCAGUCAGUGGUCCCUAACGUUACAGAUAUAGUGGAAUCCCUCAAGACAUCCAUCAACAUGGACAAGGUUUUCUUAGAUGUUAUUCCUGGCAGUAUCGAAGCUGAACUCCGGAACUUGCCGACCACUGCUACGACUAGUGCUACGACCACUGCUACGACCACUGCUACGACUACUGCUACAACUACUGCAACCACCACGACAAUGACACCAGCAGCAGCCACGAAAACUACAGAGUGUUCGCAUACCUCCAGCAACGCUAUGGGAAGAAACAGACCUCAAGAAAUGGUCACUUUACUACUUGCUUUCAUGCUGAUCUAUUUCUUCUGAACAGAAUAACUCUAGGACUCAUUUAAACCCAUUAAGUAUAACAAAUUCCAUAAUUAAAGCAUAUAUAACUUCACCUAUUAAGAUUUAGAGAAGUGAAGAAACAACUAAUACUGUCUUGAAGCAUAAAAAUGUUUGUCUAAUUUAUUUAAACAAAAUUGGCCUCAAUAGAAAAUAAUUCACAAAAUAAUGCUUAUAAUGUAAUGAAGCUGAUUCUGCCACAAUACCAGAAAAUGUAUGUAUCAUUGUGAAAUUGUGUGAUGUUUUGCUAUUUAAUAUUUACAUUUUGUUUUAGUAUAUUGCAAUAGCUUAUGAAUCAUAUAAUAUCAUAUAAAUGAAAUUAACUAAUUUAAUUAUAAAAUAAGCAUGUAAACCUAAUUGUCUAUUCUGUCAUCUAUAUUUUUCCUUAUUGUAAACCAACUCUAGCCAUUCGUUGUAAUCUUUGGAAAUUACUUUGAAAACCUUUGAAUAAAUAAGGUCAUAUAAAACCAUACACCAAUAAACAUGUAUU
Molecule: long non-coding RNA, 945 nt
Organism: Salvelinus fontinalis (brook trout)
Lineage: Eukaryota; Metazoa; Chordata; Actinopteri; Salmoniformes; Salmonidae
Exons: 3
Source: RefSeq, a predicted model, not a curated record